RNAcentral lists this ribosomal RNA (304 nucleotides) under uncultured Lachnospiraceae bacterium. Its description in RNAcentral is "bacterial SSU rRNA". It matches the Rfam family "Bacterial small subunit ribosomal RNA", at positions 355 to 675 of the family's 1533-position model. Lineage: Bacteria; Bacillati; Bacillota; Clostridia; Lachnospirales; Lachnospiraceae. The record is from RNAcentral.
UGGGGAAUAUUGCACAAUGGGGGAAACCCUGAUGCAGCGACGCCGCGUGAAGGAAGAAGUAUCUCGGUAUGUAAACUUCUAUCAGACAGGGAAGAUAGUGACGGUACCUGACUAAGAAGCCCCGGCUAACUACGUGCCAGCAGCCGCGGUAAUACGUAGGUGGCAAGCGUUGUCCGGAUUUACUGGGUGUAAAGGGCGUGCAGCCGGGUCUGCAAGUCAGAUGUGAAAUCCGUGGGCUUAACCCACGAACUGCAUUUGAAACUGUAGAUCUUGAGUAUCGGAGAGGUAAUCGGAAAUUCCUGUG